Malus domestica (apple) is the source of this 439-nucleotide long non-coding RNA. RefSeq lists it as uncharacterized. The record is from RefSeq and is a predicted model, not a curated record. Lineage: Eukaryota; Viridiplantae; Streptophyta; Magnoliopsida; Rosales; Rosaceae.
UCUAAUGUUAAAGAUUUUUCUUGGUGUAUUUUUCCCCCAAAUGCAGUGUCGUAUGCAAGUAUGUUUACGACAAGGGCAUAUCAUGCAUUACUUACAGGAAAACAACACACGAUGCCCUGUUGCAGCUUGCCCUGCAAAAUUGAAGUCAGAUAAAGUGAAGGAUGAUCCAUUGUUAGCCGCUGAUAUUGAUGAAUUGAGUAAAACGCAGAAUCAGAUUGUCAUGACUGAUGUGAUGGACGUCACCGAGUUUGAAGAGUGAUUGGAUGAUUUCGGGAUGUGAAAAGUUUCUAAAAUGACAUUUCAGCUUAGGCUAUUUCAACAUGCUUUUAGGUCGUUGUGAAGUAGUCGUGUUUUCUGUAGAAUGGUUUUGUAUAGAGUGACCUGGUUUUAUGAUAUUGCAUAUGUAGUACCAGUAGUUGAAAGCACCUCCAGUUCCUUC